This 460-nucleotide ribosomal RNA is filed under the name uncultured bacterium. Its description in RNAcentral is "partial 16S ribosomal RNA". It matches the Rfam family "Bacterial small subunit ribosomal RNA", at positions 338 to 795 of the family's 1533-position model. The record is from RNAcentral.
CCUACGGGGGGCAGCAGUGAGGAAUAUUGGUCAAUGGACGAGAGUCUGAACCAGCCAAGUAGCGUGAGGGAUGACUGCCCUAUGGGUUGUAAACUUCUUUUAUAUGGGAAUAAAACGUUCCACGUGUGGGAUUUUGUAUGUACCAUAUGAAUAAGGAUCGGCUAACUCCGUGCCAGCAGCCGCGGUAAUACGGAGGAUCCGAGCGUUAUCCGGAUUUAUUGGGUUUAAAGGGAGCGUAGGUGGAUUGUUAAGUCAGUUGUGAAAGUUUGCGGCUCAACCGUAAAAUUGCAGUUGAAACUGGCAGUCUUGAGUACAGUAGAGGUGGGCGGAAUUCGUGGUGUAGCGGUGAAAUGCUUAGAGAUCACGAAGAACUCCGAUUGCGAAGGCAGUUCACUGGACUGCAACUGACACUGAGGCUCGAAAGUGUGGGUAUCAAACAGGAUUAGAUACCCUAGUAGUC